AUUUAAUCCAGCUCAGCCAGGUAGGGCAGCCUGUGCUAGGGAAUGGCCCCAUCCAACAGCAAGCCCUCAGGCAACUUGUGGACCUGCAUAGGCUGGGUGCCUGGACCCUCUGCAAAGGAUGAGCCAGAGGUAACUCUAGACUUUGGCCAAGACUACAGAGGGUGAAAAAUUCCAAAAUAAGUUAUGAGCACUUCUCUGUAAAAAGAGAUUUGUGUUUCAGAAAAUAAAGUGCAGAGCCCCAGGUCAGAGUAAGUUGCCUUCAUAAUCACAAGCUAUGCACAAAACACAGAGCUGGGAAGAGUUGUGGAUACAAACCUGGGACCUCAGACAUUUUCAACAUUUGUAGAGAAGCGAGGAAUAAGUUGUUUUGAGCCAAAUUUCAGGAAGUGCCGCAUCUUGGGGGCAAUCCAGGGAAUAAUUGUCAACUGUGCAAAGGUUCAAUAUGUCAGACUUGAAUCUGGAAAAUGGCCUGGAAGCUAAUGACAAUCAUCUUGACACCUUCUAGAGUCUGAGAGUGAAAAUGAAGUCAAGAUAAACAAGAGAGUCAAGAGAUGGAGAGAGAUGGGUCCUGGGUGAAAUUCUCUGAGGCUCUAAAUCCAUUUUUGCCUGAUGCAUGAUCCAUUGUAAAAUUUAAACAUCCUGUUUCACUUAAGAAAAAUUUGGUUAGUAUAUCAAUGUGUGUAUGACACAUAACACACACAUCAUACAUACAUAUUAUGUAUAUAUACCUAUAUACACAUGCUGUUCCAUUUACAUUUACUUCUUUUUUUUUUUUUUUUUAGAUUUUAUUUUUUCCUUUUUCUUCCCAAAGCCCCCUGGUACAUAGUUGUGUAUUAAUUCGUUGUGGGUUCUUCUAGUUGUGGCAUGUGGGACGCUGCCUCAGCGUGGUUUGAUGAGCAGUGCUAUGUCCGCGCCCAGGAUUCGAACUAAUGAAACACUGAGCCGCCUGCAGCGGAGCGCGCGAACUUAACCACUCGGCCAC
RNAcentral lists this long non-coding RNA (982 nucleotides) under Equus caballus (horse). RNAcentral describes it as "lncRNA (ENSECAG00000037945.3)". Lineage: Eukaryota; Metazoa; Chordata; Mammalia; Perissodactyla; Equidae. The record is from RNAcentral.